UUCUUUUGGCCACCGCACCUUGGGUCGGAUCAGUGUCCUCCUUAAGGACUCUUGCAGUAUUUUUACAAUUUUACUGCAAAUAGUUGUGAAUGCUGGAAAGAAGUGGUGUAAGGCAGAUAUAUGCUGAUGCGUUUUUUUCCGGCCAGUUUGCCUGCUGGGCUGGGAUCUUGGUAGUAAUAAUGGACGGUUGUAAUGGAGGGCGUAAGGGAGAGGGCGCUUCACACUGGAAAACCCGAUCACUGAUUUAAACUGGGAUGUUAUUCGGUAUCCAAUGCAAAUGAAAUAUAGACUGGAGCCUAAAUAAGCCACAUGUACAAUGAACGCCACUUCCAUACCAGGGUAAUAUUUUCCACUACAGAAAAUGCUCCAUUAGCAGCCGAAGGAAUGCGGUGGACGCAAAUCUGAGCAGAGCAGCGCUGGGAAAGUGUUACAUCUCCUUUGCGAUCUACAGAAAAUGAUCUACUUUCAAGGUUUACAUUCGCUGCUGGUUUGUACAGAAAAAUACAAAAAAAUGAAGACAGUCCAGAGUCCGUUCGAAAGUAGACCCGAAUUCAAACAAGACUUGUGAAGUAUUUGAGAGUCAGACUCAUAGUUGAUAGAUCAAACAGGAAGAAAGACUUCACGUUUCCUCUAUUAAUCAACUCAUGUUUCAAGAUGCAAUCAGCAUUUGUCUGACUUCAAAGCAGAAACUUCAGCUCAUUUGCACUCCUUAGACAACUGCAAGCAUCACCACUGAUAAUGCCUGAUGGAUGAAAUGCACUGACUUUACUGUAAAUCACACAGUUCGGCUAGCUGGUAUACAUUUUGUUACAAGUUCUGACGAACAGACAGAGAAAGUUAAUGACAACAAGACCUAUGUAAAAAUUCAAUUAAUCAAUCAGGUAAAUACUGAAAACCUCCCCAGUUUGUGCCUUAUAUUAAUGGGCAAUGUUGUCGGGAUACUUAUUUCAAUUACUGGCAGCCCCCCUCCCCAGAGGGCAUGGUAUAUGCAUUAGGGUCCAGGGCAUGGCAUAUGCAUUAGGGCCCCAGAGGGCAUGGCAUAUGCAUUAGGGCCCAGUGCAUGGUGUGUGCUUUAGGGCCCAGGAUGUGGUGGGUGCUUUAGGUUAGCUAUGUAACUCCUGCUCAUAGUCUUACCCUAAUAUUAUUAAGUGACAUUUAAAGUAGUGAAAAGUCAUACAUUACUUAAAGGGCCACCGCACCCAAAAGGUGAAUAAAUAUGUUUUAUGUCCCUCCUUCAUGCCUUGGUGCAUGCUGAAUGCCUCCCCCCUUAUUUUUCCCAAUUGAACCAUUCUUUUCUGUCUAAGGAGAACAGCCGGAUACCUUCUAGUUCAUGUAAGAGUCUCUGAGCCUGUUCAUUCCCUGGCCAUAGGGCCCAAUCAGCCCAUUCAUUCCCUGGCCAUAGGGUCCAAUCACCCCAUUCAUUCCUUGGCCACAGGGCCAAAUCAGCCCAUUCAUUCCCUGGCCAUAGGGUCUAAUCACCCCAUUUAUUCCCUGGCCACAGGGCCCAAUUAGCCCAUUCAUUCCCUUGCCACAGGGCCCAAUCAGCCCAUUCAUUCCCUGGCCAUAGGGCCCAAUCAGCCCAUUCAUUCCCUGGCCAUAGGGUCCAAUCAUCCCAUUCAUUCCUUGGCCACAGGGCCAAAUCAGCCCAUUCAUUCCCUGGCCAUAGGGUCUAAUCACCCCAUUUAUUCCCUGGCCACAGGGCCCAAUUAGCCCAUUCAUUCCCUUGCCACAGGGCCCAAUCAGCCCAUUCAUUCCCUGGCCAUAGGGCCAAAUCAGCCCAUUCAUUCUCUGGCCAUAGGGUCUAAUUACCUCAUUCAUUCCCUGGCCACAGGACCCAAUUAGCCCAUUCAUUCCCUGGCUACAGGGCCCAAUUAUCCCAUUCAUUCCCUGGUCACAGAGCCCAAUGAGCCCAUUCAUUGCUUGGAUACUGGGCACAAUCAGCCCAUUUAUUCCAUGGCCAUAGGGUCUUAUCAGCCAGUUCAAUUUCAGGAGCAGAGAGAGACAGAUGGACGGUCAUAGGCCAGUCCACACACUUGGCAAACAUUCUUUCAACAUCCAUGGAACUUUUAAUCCCCGUAAUGACUCUCUCUAUUAUGUGCUGUCACGCAGGAAGCAAGUAUGCCUUCAUAGAUGUCUUCCCUGGUUAGUGCAAUAUACCACUUGGCAAAGUAUGCCUCAUAAGUGUUACUCAACUGGGGCACCACAGCUGCUUCUCUUCCCCAGGAUAGGAAUGUCAGCAAUGGCUAGUCACUCCAACCCUCUUCAGGCUAUCCUCUGCAGUUCCCAUCUAGCUAAUUGAACAUGGCUCACCUGGGACACAGUCACGGCUUCAUCUCUCUGCAUUAUAUGGGAGGCCAGCUGAAUCACCAUAAUGUUUAUCACAGAGUGAGGCAGUGACAUUUGUGCUGCACAGAAUAUCAAGCCAAGUAUUAUUAUUAUAAUUAUUAUUAUUAUUAUUAUUAAUCUUAUUUUAUUAUACUUAAAAAUACUUAAUGGGGAAGAUGUGAUUAUUUUACAGCCAAGGUUUCUUCUCCUUUCACAAUGAAUUCUGUGUCAUCUUUUAAAUGCAUUGUAAAGGUACAGCAUUUUCUGUGGCCUUCUUUUCUGUCUACUCACUCCCAUUUGCAGUACUGUGAUUUCUUGUUGUUUUUUUUGUUUGUUUUUUUGUUUUUGAUUGCCUGUUUGCAGGAGUGUCAGUUUACAUUUUUCAUUGACUCCUUUGAUGUUUCUUAGGGGCUAUUUCACUAAAUGAAUUUAUAAGGUACAUUUGAAUAUUAGAUUCUCUUUUAUAACUGACACGAUACUGCAUAGCAGACUACCUCAAUGGUCUUCCUAGGAAGUCUGAACGUAGUUAAAAGCUUCUAAAGUUUUGUCUUCGCUAUAAUCGGUAGCCUAGUAAGAUUAACGUGGUAGAUACAAGUAACUUCUGCCACACUCCCUGACUUCUUGAACUAAAAGUGCUUGUAUGAGGCUGUAACAAGUACCAAAAAGGAAAUAACACAACCUUUCUCUAAAGGCCAAAUGGAUGAGAUAAGAUAACCUGGAGAAAUGGCAGUAGAAGUAAAUAGUGACCGCAUUACUUAAAUGAUGUUAUCUUCACAUAUGUUACCUUGACGUUAUGAAAAUGUAAUGUCAGGGUGAAAUUUGUCUUCAAAUCCAGAGCAGGUGAGUGACCCCCAUUGUCCUCUACAUACAGAUAAUUUGCUGACAAAAUCUAGGUUCAGUGAAUGCCAGUCUCUCCCAAGUUGUGUUUGUUACAUAUAUGAACAACAAAGAUGCUCAUAAAAUGAUUUAUGUAAAGGCAGUAAUAACUACAUUACUAGUCAUUGUACUUAUCUUCAUGUUAAACAAAACAACCAAAAUAUUUGUUUCAAAAAUUAAACAAAUGCAUUAUUUUUGAACAGCACACAAACUAUGCAUAUAUUAUUCAGUGCCAUUUUAAUUCAUCUGUAUGAAGCAUUUCAUUCAAUACCCUCAGAUCUUUUGUAAGUUGCUUCUGUUUUGAAAAUUUAAUAAACAUAUGGAAAUAAUAUGUUUCAUUAAAUAAUAUAGCCUAAGGGUCACUGGAUAUGGCUUAUGCCUUGCCAUUUGAGUUUUCAGAGUUCAGUCCUGAAAUCUAGUCACCAUUUGUGCAUAAACUGCAUAUCGUUGUGGGUUUUGUUACAUACGACAGUCUCCUCGUACCACCCUAAUACAUGCUAAGCAACUGGUUAGUUUAAACUGUGCAUACAUGUUGCAUUCAUCCUUGCUCUUAUGGCACAAAUCAUGGCUGAAAAGUGUUUGAGAAAGAUCAUCUUCAUUUAUGUGGUUAAAAAUACAUCUUCCCAAAAUUCUACGUUGUAGACUUCACAAAAAUAUAAUGUAAUUGUUUGUGAGCUGAAUGAUUUUUGAAAUAUUAACAAAAAUGUGAAAAUCUUCAUAAUCAUCUUUAGAAGGAAUAACUCAUUACUCCAACUCAUG
Protopterus annectens (West African lungfish) is the source of this 3960-nucleotide long non-coding RNA. RefSeq lists it as uncharacterized. The record is from RefSeq and is a predicted model, not a curated record. The transcript is spliced from 3 exons. NCBI's taxonomy places the organism in Eukaryota, Metazoa, Chordata, Ceratodontiformes, Protopteridae.